Molecule: ribosomal RNA, 253 nt
Filed under: uncultured bacterium
Lineage: Bacteria
Description: partial 16S ribosomal RNA
Rfam family: Bacterial small subunit ribosomal RNA
Source: RNAcentral
UACGGAGGGUGCAAGCGUUAUCCGGAUUUACUGGGUUUAAAGGGUGCGUAGGUGGGUAAGUAAGUCAGUGGUGAAAUCUUCGAGCUUAACUCGGAAACUGCCAUUGAUACUAUUUAUCUUGAAUACUUUGGAGGUAAGCGGAAUAUGUCAUGUAGCGGUGAAAUGCUUAGAUAUGACAUAGAACACCAAUUGCGAAGGCAGCUUACUACACAGUUAUUGACACUGAGGCACGAAAGCGUGGGGAUCAAUCAGG